GGGCUUGUAGCUCAGUUGGUUAGAGCACGCGCCUGAUAAGCGCGAGGUCGGUAGUUCGAGCCUACUCAAGCCCACCA
RNAcentral lists this transfer RNA (77 nucleotides) under Clostridiales bacterium. RNAcentral describes it as "tRNA-Ile". It matches the Rfam family "tRNA". From Rfam's summary of the family: Transfer RNA (tRNA) molecules are approximately 80 nucleotides in length. Lineage: Bacteria; Bacillati; Bacillota; Clostridia; Eubacteriales. The record is from RNAcentral. RNAcentral also lists the same sequence under 2 other names.